AUGGAAAAGUGGUUCCUUACUACUAUUGUCAUGAGCUCACAGAGUUGUAAGCCUGAUGCAGCAGAUACGCCGUCCGAUCAGGAGAUCUCUGUCGAGAAGAGCGAUAGAUGCAGCGACGAUUCCUCUUGUUUAUUCUUGGAACACCGUACUUCUGCAACAGUGAGGAAACGGUGCGGAACGGCGAAAGAAAGCUUUAAUCUGAAACGAUGA
Molecule: non-coding RNA, 210 nt
Organism: Vicia faba (fava bean)
Lineage: Eukaryota; Viridiplantae; Streptophyta; Magnoliopsida; Fabales; Fabaceae
Source: the annotation of a GenBank genome assembly